This 210-nucleotide long non-coding RNA is filed under the name Solanum tuberosum (potato). RNAcentral's name for it is "long non-coding RNA (STUB_LNC010447)". The record is from RNAcentral. Lineage: Eukaryota; Viridiplantae; Streptophyta; Magnoliopsida; Solanales; Solanaceae.
AGGCUAGGCAGUCUCUUAUUGUUAGAGGGAUUUUCAUCUGUUCCUCCCUAAAUAAGUGAUUUCUUUCUAGAGCUACUGUAGUUUUGUAUUCUGAUUAAAAGAUUAUGUUAACCAACAUGGAAUUGUGAAGUGUGUGAUUAACAAUGUCACUUGACCUCAUCUUGUAUUAGUUCUUCUGUAUUAUUUUAUGAGCAAAAUAUUAAAGGUAAG